UGAGGAAUAUUGGACAAUGGGCGCAAGCCUGAUCCAGCAAUGCCGCGUGCAGGAUGAAGGCCUUCGGGUUGUAAACUGCUUUUGUACGGAGCGAAAAGGUCUGCCCUAAUACGGUGGGCUCAUGACGGUACCGUAAGAAUAAGCACCGGCUAACUACGUGCCAGCAGCCGCGGUAAUACGUAGGGUGCGAGCGUUAAUCGGAAUUACUGGGCGUAAAGCGUGCGCAGGCGGUUAUAUAAGACAGAUGUGAAAUCCCCGGGCUCAACCUGGGACCUGCAUUUGUGACUGUAUAGCUAGAGUACGGUAGAGGGGGAUGGAAUUCCGCGUGUAGCAGUGAAAUGCGUAGAUAUGCGGAGGAACACCGAUGGCGAAGGCAAUCCCCUGGACCUGUGCUGACGCUCAUGCACGAAAGCGUGGGGAGCAAACA
RNAcentral lists this ribosomal RNA (427 nucleotides) under uncultured bacterium. Its description in RNAcentral is "bacterial SSU rRNA". It matches the Rfam family "Bacterial small subunit ribosomal RNA", at positions 355 to 774 of the family's 1533-position model. The record is from RNAcentral.